GGGGAAGUUGGGGGGGGGGCUUACACAUGCAAGUCAACGAUGAUGCCCAGCUUGCUGGGCGGAUUAGUGGCGAACGGGUGAGUAAUACGUGAGUAACCUGCCCUUGACUCUGGGAUAAGCCUGGGAAACUGGGUCUAAUACUGGAUACUACCUCUUACCGCAUGGUGGGUGGUGGAAAGGGUUUUACUGGUUUUGGAUGGGCUCACGGCCUAUCAGCUUGUUGGUGGGGUAAUGGCUCACCAAGGCGACGACGGGUAGCCGGCCUGAGAGGGUGACCGGCCACACUGGGACUGAGACACGGCCCAGACUCCUACGGGAGGCAGCAGUGGGGAAUAUUGCACAAUGGGCGGAAGCCUGAUGCAGCGACGCCGCGUGAGGGAUGACGGCCUUCGGGUUGUAAACCUCUUUCAGUAGGGAAGAAGCGAGAGUGACGGUACCUGCAGAAGAAGCGCCGGCUAACUACGUGCCACCAGCCGCGGUAAUACGUAGGGCGCAAGCGUUGUCCGGAAUUAUUGGGCGUAAAGAGCUCGUAGGCGGUUUGUCGCGUCUGCUGUGAAAGCCCGGGGCUCAACCCCGGGUCUGCAGUGGGUACGGGCAGACUAGAGUGCAGUAGGGGAGACUGGAAUUCCUGGUGUAGCGGUGAAAUGCGCAGAUAUCAGGAGGAACACCGAUGGCGAAGGCAGGUCUCUGGGCUGUUACUGACGCUGAGGAGCGAAAGCAUGGGGAGCGAACAGGAUUAGAUACCCUGGUAGUCCAUGCCGUAAACGUUGGGCACUAGGUGUGGGGGACAUUCCCACGUUUUCCGCGCCGUAGCUAACGCAUUAAGUGCCCCGCCUGGGGAGUACGGCCGCAAGGCUAAAACUCAAAGGAAUUGACGGGGGCCCGCACAAGCGGCGGAGCAUGCGGAUUAAUUCGAUGCAACGCGAAGAACCUUACCAAGGCUUGACAUUCACCGGACCGCCCCAGAGAUGGGGUUUCCCUUCGGGGCUGGUGGACAGGUGGUGCAUGGUUGUCGUCAGCUCGUGUCGUGAGAUGUUGGGUUAAGUCCCGCAACGAGCGCAACCCUCGUUCUAUGUUGCCAGCACGUGAUGGUGGGGACUCAUAGGAGACUGCCGGGGUCAACUCGGAGGAAGGUGGGGAUGACGUCAAAUCAUCAUGCCCCUUAUGUCUUGGGCUUCACGCAUGCUACAAUGGCCGGUACAAAGGGUUGCGAUACUGUGAGGUGGAGCUAAUCCCAAAAAGCCGGUCUCAGUUCGGAUUGAGGUCUGCAACUCGACCUCAUGAAGUCGGAGUCGCUAGUAAUCGCAGAUCAGCAACGCUGCGGUGAAUACGUUCCCGGGCCUUGUACACACCGCCCGUCAAGUCACGAAAGUUGGUAACACCCGAAGCCGGUGGCCUAACCCCUUGUGGGAGGGAGCCGUCGAAAGUGGACCGCCAUGCCUCCUGUAAC
Molecule: ribosomal RNA, 1450 nt
Filed under: Kocuria rosea
Lineage: Bacteria; Bacillati; Actinomycetota; Actinomycetes; Micrococcales; Micrococcaceae
Description: bacterial SSU rRNA
Rfam family: Bacterial small subunit ribosomal RNA
Source: RNAcentral